AUUAUAGGCAGCUUGGACUGACAUUACAAGUCCUGUACUAACUAAUACUGAACAAUGGAGCUUCUGACUGUCUGGAGUUUAGUUAUCAUGGUGAUGUCCAUACACAGUGUUUGCUGUGAUGAGAUGGAUCAGUCUCCUUCUCAGGUGAAAAGACCUGGAGACAAGUUUAAAUUGUCAUGUAAAAUCUCUGGGUUUGAUAUGACAGACUACUAUAUGACCUGGAUAAGACAGAAACCAGGCAAAGCUCUGGAGUGGAUUGGGGUUAUUAACUCUGGUUCAACAGAUGCUCCAGGCUACUCAGAGUCCCUGAAAGGCCAGUUCAGCCUGACUGAGGACGUCUCUACAAGCACACAGUUCUUAGAGGCCAAGAGUCUGAGUUCAGAGGACUCUGCUGUUUAUUAUUGUGCUCGACAGGCACACUGACUGAAGCUGUUGAAGCAGCUGUACAAAAACAACCCUAACAAAAAGGCUAGCUGGUGUACUACUUCCUCUCUUUGUUUCACACUAUAAUAAUACUGAGUAUCAUUACUGUAAAUAAAACAUUUGCAAACAACUGUUACAAACUGACAAUGGCACAAACAUGUAAGAUGAAAUCAACAACUGAUAGGUGAAUAUUAUAAUGUAAGAAUCUGUAGUAAUGCUAUACUAUAGUGUCUACCAUGGUUUAUGUUUCUUACACCUCACUGAGAACAGACAGAGUCAUAUUGAAUCCCUAUGGAGAUGUGAAGGAGGUGUUUUUGUACUGGGGUACAUCUAACAUUUUACAUUUGUAUUUUUUAUUCAGAAAUGAUUACUUGUGGGUUACCUUCAUGUGUGUGCGAAAUAUUACUGUUCUCAGAUUUAUUUAUUUUAUUUACAUUUUAGAUG
Molecule: non-coding RNA, 867 nt
Organism: Oncorhynchus mykiss (rainbow trout)
Lineage: Eukaryota; Metazoa; Chordata; Actinopteri; Salmoniformes; Salmonidae
Source: the annotation of a RefSeq genome assembly